RNAcentral lists this ribosomal RNA (642 nucleotides) under uncultured bacterium. RNAcentral describes it as "bacterial SSU rRNA". It matches the Rfam family "Bacterial small subunit ribosomal RNA", at positions 37 to 686 of the family's 1533-position model. The record is from RNAcentral.
UGGCGGAGUGCCUAACACAUGCAAGUCAAACGGGUGGUAACACCAGUGGCGCACGGGUGAGUAAUGCAUGGGUCAUCUGCCUCGUAGAGGGGGAUAACUACGCGAAAGUGUAGCUAAUACCGCAUACGCAGGGAACUGCAAAGGAGGGGAUCGCAAGACCUUCCGCUACGAGAUGAGCUCAUGUCCCAUUAGCUAGUUGGCGGGGUAACAGCCCACCAAGGCGAAGAUGGGUAGCUGGUCUGAGAGGACGAUCAGCCACACUGGAACUGAGACACGGUCCAGACUCCUACGGGAGGCAGCAGUGGGGAAUAUUGCGCAAUGGGCGAAAGCCUGACGCAGCAACGCCGCGUGAGUGAUGAAGGCCUUCGGGUUGUAAAGCUCUUUCGGUUGGGAAGAAGGGUGUGCGUACUAAUAAUGCGUACAUUUGAUGGUACCAAAAGAAGAAGCACCGGCUAACUUCGUGCCAGCAGCCGCGGUAAUACGAAGGGUGCGAGCGUUGUUCGGAAUGACUGGGCGUAAAGGGUUCGUAGGCGGGAAGACAAGUCAAGUGUGAAAUCCCCAGGCUCAACCUGGGACGUGCACUUGAAACUGCUUUUCUUGAGUCAGAGAGAGGGUGAUGGAAUUGCUGGUGUAGGAGUGACA